GACAGGUUAAAAGAGUGUAAAAAAUCUUUGUUUGAGUCAAACCUGGCUUUCCAGACUGCUGGCUUGCUGCGGGAGCUUGUCAAUCCUUGUUUCAGGGUCAAGGGCUGAAUGCUGACUUCUUUCCGUUUUUUCACCUCCUCAUUUCAGACAUGCUGCCACUGCACUGCUCUGUUUUCUUCAGAGCAAAUUGAUUACCAUCUGAAAUUAUCUGCUUUCUGUCUCUUCUCAUUAGGCUCUCAUGGUAGGGACUUUGCUCAUCUUGUCCAGCAAGUGUCUCCAUCACUUAAAACAGUGUCUGGCACAUAAAAAGUGCUCAAUAAGGACAGGGCAGCUGGAAGAAAAUGAAGAGCCUGCAAAGUAACAAGAAGCAAACGCUCAGGAAAGGGGCUCCCAGGACCCCAGCAGGCAUUUAUAACUGCUCAACUGGAGACGACACUCGGAAAUGCAGACCUGUGCUCUCUAACUGGUACACAGUGUGGCCUGAAUGGGCCAGAUCCCCUCUGCCAGACUGCGCAUCCUCCAACUCCCACGCCCGCCUGGGGCCAGACUCAGGGCUUCACCACAUGCCCCA
Molecule: long non-coding RNA, 571 nt
Organism: Bubalus bubalis (water buffalo)
Lineage: Eukaryota; Metazoa; Chordata; Mammalia; Artiodactyla; Bovidae
Exons: 3
Source: RefSeq, a predicted model, not a curated record